UAUUGGAAAGACAACUCUUGCUGACAAAGUAUUUCAUCGAAUCAAGGCUAAAUUUGAUUGUCACUACUUUGCUGCCAGUGUUAGGGAAGAAAAAGAGAAGCAACCACGAACUGUUUUACGAGAUAAAAUCUUUGGUGAAUUGUUACGAGAAGAUGUGCAUAUAGACACACCUAGUUUACCGGAUUUCAUGAAGAGAAGACUUCGAAGUGAAAAGGUACUCAUCGUCUUUGAUGAUGUAGAUGAUCCAGAAGAUAUUGAGUUUUUAGGUGGAAUCUGUGAUUGGUACAAUGAGGGAAGUAGAAUAAUUAUAACCA
RNAcentral lists this unclassified non-coding RNA (314 nucleotides) under Hevea brasiliensis (rubber tree). Lineage: Eukaryota; Viridiplantae; Streptophyta; Magnoliopsida; Malpighiales; Euphorbiaceae. The record is from RNAcentral.